This 780-nucleotide long non-coding RNA is filed under the name Microcebus murinus (gray mouse lemur). RNAcentral describes it as "lncRNA (ENSMICG00000048191.1)". The record is from RNAcentral. Lineage: Eukaryota; Metazoa; Chordata; Mammalia; Primates; Cheirogaleidae.
UAUAGAGUUUCUUUUUGUCCCUACUAUUUUCUGCUGGUAAACCAUGGUCUUGGGUCUCAGCUGCAGCUGGAUACAGUAUUUCUGAAGACAGACUUUUCCAGUUCUACUAGGAAGAAUGUAUAAAGUCACAUGGCCAUGUGUUCACUUCCAAACUGGAAAUUCAACUUUAGUUGGGAACUUGCCUAGCAGGAGAACAAAAGCUAUACAACAGUUUCAAGGAAGAGGAAGUGGUUCUCUUGCAUGACUGUGGACCCACUCAAUGAUGCAAGAUUGCAAGAUUCAGCAAGGAGGUGGAGUGAAAACAGAAGCCUUGGACUGCUCCGUGGUCACUUUCAACAGAGAGAUAUAAAGCCUGGCUAGGAGGAAGGAGUGCAGAUUGAAGUUUGAUCUACUGGACACUGUUCUACCCACACUUAUACCCUAACACAAAAAACGCCUCAUGACUUUACAAAUGAUUUCUUGGAUGCUUGUCCUUGUGCCCAGCUAUGCACCAGGAGUAAUGAAUGAUAUAAAGAACUACAGGACUCCUGCUUCUGAGGAACACUCAAACAAUGAAAUAUGCAUGCACUGCACAGCACCUGCAGGAAAGGAAUGGCUCCAUGUUCCAAGGAUGAGUCUUUGCAAAGAAGUCUUAAAUACUCACUUGUUCUGAGACAUGCUGGACUACUUACCCAGGGCCUCCAUGUGAUCUCAGAACCUUCCUGGAGAUUAAAAGCACAGAGAGACAUGACUACUCUAGAUUUGUGUAAAAUAAUUAAUUCAAUAAAUAUGUAUCGAAAG